GUGUUGUGAGAGCAAUAUUCUGAGGGGAGAAAAUGGCAAGGCGGUUCACAUUUCUCUGUAUGCUCUAGCAGCCACCCCAGCAUGUAUUUUAGAUUUUCCUCUAUCAGCUGUGUGUACCCAGAGUAUGGAAGUCCCCCAGAUGACCACUAGGGAAAGGACUGGCACUGAGUGUAACCCCCAUGGUGGCAAGCUCCCCUGCUCCUUUCAGGUGUUUUGCUGGUGGGAUCAUCCAUGUUGCAGGAGACUCUCUGAGCCCCAGCAAGCAGUAAAUAGAACAAACAGAACCCGUGUUACAGGCAUGGUCAACUGCACUGGUCGCACAGCCCUAGCAGAGCAGAGUCACUGCCACCCUCACGUAGGCAGUGACAUGGCGCAGGGGAUUACCCACCCUGGGGUCCUCCCAGUGAUACCUGGACAAGUCAGCAGCACACGGCAGCAGCAGCAGGGAGAAGUGAUGGGAGCACUUGCACCGUUUACCUGUGCCUCAGAGCAGCCACAGCAAGGGACCAGGACAGGCUGAUGCACCAAGGACACAUUGACUUGCUCACCUCCUGCACUGUUGGAAUUAGUUUUGCAGUUAAUAUACGCACUGAUGUCAAAUAAAAUGAAACCGUUAUGAUGUUGUGAGUUGCCU
Molecule: long non-coding RNA, 634 nt
Filed under: Anas platyrhynchos platyrhynchos (common mallard)
Lineage: Eukaryota; Metazoa; Chordata; Aves; Anseriformes; Anatidae
Description: lncRNA (ENSAPLG00000020720.1)
Source: RNAcentral